This 322-nucleotide ribosomal RNA is filed under the name Escherichia coli. RNAcentral describes it as "partial 23S ribosomal RNA". It matches the Rfam family "Bacterial large subunit ribosomal RNA", at positions 1573 to 1876 of the family's 2925-position model. Lineage: Bacteria; Pseudomonadati; Pseudomonadota; Gammaproteobacteria; Enterobacterales; Enterobacteriaceae. The record is from RNAcentral.
GGCACUACGGUGCUGAAGCAACAAAUGCCCUGCUUCCAGGAAAAGCCUCUAAGCAUCAGGUAACAUCAAAUCGUACCCCAAACCGACACAGGUGGUCAGGUAGAGAAUACCAAGGCGCUUGAGAGAACUCGGGUGAAGGAACUAGGCAAAAUGGUGCCGUAACUUCGGGAGAAGGCACGCUGAUAUGUAGGUGAAGUCCCUCGCGGAUGGAGCUGAAAUCAGUCGAAGAUACCAGCUGGCUGCAACUGUUUAUUAAAAACACAGCACUGUGCAAACACGAAAGUGGACGUAUACGGUGUGACGCCUGCCCGGUGCCGGAAGG